RNAcentral lists this ribosomal RNA (254 nucleotides) under uncultured bacterium. Its description in RNAcentral is "partial 16S ribosomal RNA". It matches the Rfam family "Bacterial small subunit ribosomal RNA", at positions 524 to 776 of the family's 1533-position model. The record is from RNAcentral.
CACGUAGGGGGCGAGCGUUGUCCGGAAUCAUUGGGCGUAAAGAGCUCGUAGGCGGCUCAAUAAGUCGGGUGUGAAACCCCCAGGCUCAACCUGGGGACGCCACCCGAUACUGUUGUGGCUAGAGUCCAGUAGGGGAGUGUGGAAUUCCCGGUGUAGCGGUGAAAUGCGCAGAUAUCGGGAGGAACACCAGCGGCGAAGGCGGCACUCUGGACCACAACUGACGCUGAGGCGCGAAAGCUAGGGGAGCAAACGGG